GACGAACGCUGGCGGCGUGCUUAACACAUGCAAGUCGAACGGAAAGGCCCUGCUUUUGUGGGGUGCUCGAGUGGCGAACGGGUGAGUAACACGUGAGUAACCUGCCCUUGACUUUGGGAUAACUUCAGGAAACUGGGGCUAAUACCGUAUAGGAGCUCCUGCUGCAUGGUGGGGGUUGGAAAGUUUCGGCGGUUGGGGAUGGACUCGCGGCUUAUCAGCUUGUUGGUGGGGUAGUGGCUUACCAAGGCUUUGACGGGUAGCCGGCCUGAGAGGGUGACCGGCCACAUUGGGACUGAGAUACGGCGCAGACUCCUACGGGAGGCAGCAGUGGGGAAUAUUGCACAAUGGGCGGAAGCCUGAUGCAGCAACGCCGCGUGCGGGAUGACGGCCUUCGGGUUGUAAACCGCUUUCGCCUGUGACGAAGCGUGAGUGACGGUAAUGGGUAAAGAAGCACCGGCUAACUACGUG
RNAcentral lists this ribosomal RNA (468 nucleotides) under uncultured bacterium. Its description in RNAcentral is "partial 16S ribosomal RNA". It matches the Rfam family "Bacterial small subunit ribosomal RNA", at positions 28 to 507 of the family's 1533-position model. The record is from RNAcentral.